GGGUUGUGAGGUUAAGCGACUAAGCGUACACGGUGGAUGCCCUGGCAGUCAGAGGCGAUGAAGGGCGUGCUAAUCUGCGAUAAGCGCCGGUAAGGUGAUAUGAACCGUUAUAACCGGCGAUACCCGAAUGGGGAAACCCAGUGUGAUUCGUCACACUAUCAUUAACUGAAUCCAUAGGUUAAUGAGGCGAACCGGGGGAACUGAAACAUCUAAGUACCCCGAGGAAAAGAAAUCAACCGAGAUUCCCCGCGAACGGGGAGGAGCCCAGAGCCUGAAUCAGCAUGUGUGUUAGUGGAAGCGUCUGGAAAGGCGCGCGAUACAGGGUGACAGCCCCGUACACAAAAAGCGCAGGUGCUGUGAGCUCGAUGAGUAGGGCGGGACACGUGGUAUCCUGUCUGAAUAUGGGGGGACCAUCCUCCAAGGCUAAAUACUCCUGACUGACCGAUAGUGAACCAGUACCGUGAGGGAAAGGCGAAAAGAACCCCGGCGAGGGGAGUGAAAAAGAACCUGAAACCGUGUACGUACAAGCAGUGGGAGCACCCUUCGGGGUGUGACUGCGUACCUUUUGUAUAAUGGGUCAGCGACUUAUAUUCUGUAGCAAGGUUAACCGUAUAGGGGAGCCGGAGGGAAACCGAGUCUUAAUUGGGCGUUAAGUUGCAGGGUAUAGACCCGAAACCCGGUGAUCUAGCCAUGGGCAGGUUGAAGGUUGGGUAACACUAACUGGAGGACCGAACCGACUAAUGUUGAAAAAUUAGCGGAUGACCUGUGGCUGGGGUGAAAGGCCAAUCAAACCGGGAGUUAGCUGGUUCUCCCCGUAAGCUAUUUAGGUAGCGCCUCGUGAAUUCAUCUCCGGGGUAGAGCACUGUUUCGGCUAGGGGCCAUCCCGGCUUACCAACCCGAUGCAAACUGCGAAUACCGGAGAAUGUUAUCACGGGAGACACACGGCGGGUGCUAACGUCCGUCGUGAAGAGGGAAACAACCCAGACCGCCAGCUAAGGUCCCAAAGUCAUGGUUAAGUGGGAAACGAUGUGGGAAGGCCCAGACAGCCAGGAUGUUGGCUUAGAAGCAGCCAUCAUUUAAAGAAAGCGUAAUAGCUCACUGGUCGAGUCGGCCUGCGCGGAAGAUGUAACGGGGCUAAACCAUGCACCGAAGCUGCGGCAGCGAACGUAUCACCCAAGACAACUUUACGGAGUUGACGAUUGACGGAGCGAAGCGACGUCAAAGCGUUCAUUAAAGUCGAGUUGGCUUAGGGAUACGUUCGUUGGGUAGGGGAGCGUUCUGUAAGCCUGUGAAGGUGUGUCGUGAGGCAUGCUGGAGGUAUCAGAAGUGCGAAUGCUGACAUAAGUAACGAUAAAGCGGGUGAAAAGCCCGCUCGCCGGAAGACCAAGGGUUCCUGUCCAACGUUAAGGGGGGACGGAGAAGGCUAUGUUGGCCGGGCGACGGUUGUCCCGGUUUAAGCGUGUAGGUGUGUGUUCCAGGUAAAUCCGGUUCACUUUAACACUGAGGCGUGACGACGAGGCACUACGGUGCUGAAGCAACAAAUGCCCUGCUUCCAGGAAAAGCCUCUAAGCAUCAGGUAACACGAAAUCGUACCCCAAACCGACACAGGUGGUCAGGUAGAGAAUACCAAGGCGCUUGAGAGAACUCGGGUGAAGGAACUAGGCAAAAUGGUGCCGUAACUUCGGGAGAAGGCACGCUGACACGUAGGUGAAGUGAUUUACUCAUGGAGCUGAAGUCAGUCGAAGAUACCAGCUGGCUGCAACUGUUUAUUAAAAACACAGCACUGUGCAAACACGAAAGUGGACGUAUACGGUGUGACGCCUGCCCGGUGCCGGAAGGUUAAUUGAUGGGGUCAGCGUAAGCGAAGCUCCUGAUCGAAGCCCCGGUAAACGGCGGCCGUAACUAUAACGGUCCUAAGGUAGCGAAAUUCCUUGUCGGGUAAGUUCCGACCUGCACGAAUGGCGUAAUGAUGGCCAGGCUGUCUCCACCCGAGACUCAGUGAAAUUGAACUCGCUGUGAAGAUGCAGUGUACCCGCGGCAAGACGGAAAGACCCCGUGAACCUUUACUAUAGCUUGACACUGAACAUUGAGCCUUGAUGUGUAGGAUAGGUGGGAGGCUUUGAAGUGUGGACGCCAGUCUGCAUGGAGCCGACCUUGAAAUACCACCCUUUAAUGUUUGAUGUUCUAACGUGGACCCGUAAUCCGGGUUGCGGACAGUGUCUGGUGGGUAGUUUGACUGGGGCGGUCUCCUCCUAAAGAGUAACGGAGGAGCACGAAGGUUGGCUAAUCCUGGUCGGACAUCAGGAGGUUAGUGCAAUGGCAUAAGCCAGCUUGACUGCGAGCGUGACGGCGCGAGCAGGUGCGAAAGCAGGUCAUAGUGAUCCGGUGGUUCUGAAUGGAAGGGCCAUCGCUCAACGGAUAAAAGGUACUCCGGGGAUAACAGGCUGAUACCGCCCAAGAGUUCAUAUCGACGGCGGUGUUUGGCACCUCGAUGUCGGCUCAUCACAUCCUGGGGCUGAAGUAGGUCCCAAGGGUAUGGCUGUUCGCCAUUUAAAGUGGUACGCGAGCUGGGUUUAGAACGUCGUGAGACAGUUCGGUCCCUAUCUGCCGUGGGCGCUGGAGAACUGAGGGGGGCUGCUCCUAGUACGAGAGGACCGGAGUGGACGCAUCACUGGUGUUCGGGUUGUCAUGCCAAUGGCACUGCCCGGUAGCUAAAUGCGGAAGAGAUAAGUGCUGAAAGCAUCUAAGCACGAAACUUGCCCCGAGAUGAGUUCUCCCUGAGACUUAGAGUCUCCUGAAGGAACGUUGAAGACGACGACGUUGAUAGGCCGGGUGUGUAAGCGCAGCGAUGCGUUGAGCUAACCGGUACUAAUGAACCGUGAGGCUUAACCUUACAACGCCGAAG
This 2905-nucleotide ribosomal RNA is filed under the name Salmonella enterica subsp. enterica serovar 1,4,[5],12:i:-. RNAcentral describes it as "23S ribosomal RNA". It matches the Rfam family "Bacterial large subunit ribosomal RNA". Lineage: Bacteria; Pseudomonadati; Pseudomonadota; Gammaproteobacteria; Enterobacterales; Enterobacteriaceae. The record is from RNAcentral.